GUUAAGCGACUAAGCGUACACGGUGGAUGCCCUGGCAGUCAGAGGCGAUGAAGGGCGUGCUAAUCUGCGAUAAGCGCCGGUAAGGUGAUAUGAACCGUUAUAACCGGCGAUACCCGAAUGGGGAAACCCAGUGUGAUUCGUCACACUAUCAUUAACUGAAUCCAUAGGUUAAUGAGGCGAACCGGGGGAACUGAAACAUCUAAGUACCCCGAGGAAAAGAAAUCAACCGAGAUUCCCCCAGUAGCGGCGAGCGAACGGGGAGGAGCCCAGAGCCUGAAUCAGCAUGUGUGUUAGUGGAAGCGUCUGGAAAGGCGCGCGAUACAGGGUGACAGCCCCGUACACAAAAGCGCAUGUGCUGUGAGCUCGAUGAGUAGGGCGGGACACGUGGUAUCCUGUCUGAAUAUGGGGGGACCAUCCUCCAAGGCUAAAUACUCCUGACUGACCGAUAGUGAACCAGUACCGUGAGGGAAAGGCGAAAAGAACCCCGGCGAGGGGAGUGAAAAAGAACCUGAAACCGUGUACGUACAAGCAGUGGGAGCACCCUUCGGGGUGUGACUGCGUACCUUUUGUAUAAUGGGUCAGCGACUUAUAUUCUGUAGCAAGGUUAACCGUAUAGGGGAGCCGGAGGGAAACCGAGUCUUAACCGGGCGUUAAGUUGCAGGGUAUAGACCCGAAACCCGGUGAUCUAGCCAUGGGCAGGUUGAAGGUUGGGUAACACUAACUGGAGGACCGAACCGACUAAUGUUGAAAAAUUAGCGGAUGACCUGUGGCUGGGGGUGAAAGGCCAAUCAAACCGGGAGAUAGCUGGUUCUCCCCGAAAGCUAUUUAGGUAGCGCCUCGUGAAUUCAUCUCCGGGGGUAGAGCACUGUUUCGGCUAGGGGGCCAUCCCGGCUUACCAACCCGAUGCAAACUGCGAAUACCGGAGAAUGUUAUCACGGGAGACACACGGCGGGUGCUAACGUCCGUCGUGAAGAGGGAAACAACCCAGACCGCCAGCUAAGGUCCCAAAGUCAUGGUUAAGUGGGAAACGAUGUGGGAAGGCCCAGACAGCCAGGAUGUUGGCUUAGAAGCAGCCAUCAUUUAAAGAAAGCGUAAUAGCUCACUGGUCGAGUCGGCCUGCGCGGAAGAUGUAACGGGGCUAAACCAUGCACCGAAGCUGCGGCAGCGAACGUAUCACCCAAGACAACUUUACGGAGUUGACGAUUGACGGAGCGAAGCGACGUCAAAGCGUUCAUUAAAGUCGAGUUGGCUUAGGGAUACGUUCGUUGGGUAGGGGAGCGUUCUGUAAGCCUGUGAAGGUGUGUCGUGAGGCAUGCUGGAGGUAUCAGAAGUGCGAAUGCUGACAUAAGUAACGAUAAAGCGGGUGAAAAGCCCGCUCGCCGGAAGACCAAGGGUUCCUGUCCAACGUUAAUCGGGGCAGGGUGAGUCGACCCCUAAGGCGAGGCCGAAAGGCGUAGUCGAUGGGAAACGGGUUAAUAUUCCCGUACUUGGUGUUACUGCGAAGGGGGGACGGAGAAGGCUAUGUUGGCCGGGCGACGGUUGUCCCGGUUUAAGCGUGUAGGUGUGUGUUCCAGGUAAAUCCGGUUCACUUUAACACUGAGGCGUGACGACGAGGCACUACGGUGCUGAAGCAACAAAUGCCCUGCUUCCAGGAAAA
RNAcentral lists this ribosomal RNA (1657 nucleotides) under Salmonella enterica subsp. enterica serovar Typhimurium. RNAcentral describes it as "partial 23S ribosomal RNA". It matches the Rfam family "Bacterial large subunit ribosomal RNA", at positions 1 to 1616 of the family's 2925-position model. Lineage: Bacteria; Pseudomonadati; Pseudomonadota; Gammaproteobacteria; Enterobacterales; Enterobacteriaceae. The record is from RNAcentral.